This 497-nucleotide ribosomal RNA is filed under the name uncultured bacterium. RNAcentral's name for it is "partial 16S ribosomal RNA". It matches the Rfam family "Bacterial small subunit ribosomal RNA", at positions 28 to 507 of the family's 1533-position model. The record is from RNAcentral.
GAUGAACGCUGGCGGCGUGCCUAAUACAUGCAAGUCGAGCGAACAGACGAGGAGCUUGCUCCUCUGACGUUAGCGGCGGACGGGUGAGUAACACGUGGAUAACCUACCUAUAAGACUGGGAUAACUUCGGGAAACCGGAGCUAAUACCGGAUAACAUGUUGAACCGCAUGGUUCAACAGUGAAAGACGGUCUUGCUGUCACUUAUAGAUGGAUCCGCGCCGCAUUAGCUAGUUGGUAAGGUAACGGCUUACCAAGGCAACGAUGCGUAGCCGACCUGAGAGGGUGAUCGGCCACAGUGGAACUGAGACACGGUCCAGACUCCUACGGGAGGCAGCAGUAGGGAAUCUUCCGCAAUGGGCGAAAGCCUGACGGAGCAACGCCGCGUGAGUGAAGAAGGUCUUCGGAUCGUAAAACUCUGUUAUUAGGGAAGAACAAAUGUGUAAGUAACUAUGCACGUCUUGACGGUACCUAAUCAGAAAGCCACGGCUAACUACGUG